CGGAACGUGCCCAAUCGUGGGGGAUAGCUCGGCGAAAGCCGGAUUAAUACCGCAUACGAUCUACGGAUGAAAGCAGGGGACUCGCAAGAGCCUUGCGCGAAUGGAGCGGCCGAUGGCAGAUUAGGUAGUUGGUGGGGUAAAGGCUCACCAAGCCGACGAUCUGUAGCUGGUCUGAGAGGACGACCAGCCACACUGGGACUGAGACACGGCCCAGACUCCUACGGGAGGCAGCAGUGGGGAAUUUUGGACAAUGGGCGCAAGCCUGAUCCAGCAAUGCCGCGUGCAGGAUGAAGGCCUUCGGGUUGUAAACUGCUUUUGUACGGAACGAAAAGGCUCUGGUUAAUACCUGGGGCUCAUGACGGUACCGUAAGAAUAAGCACCGGCUAACUACGUGCCAGCAGCCGCGGUAAUACGUAGGGUGCGAGCGUUAAUCGGAAUUACUGGGCGUAAAGCGUGCGCAGGCGGUGAUGUAAGACAGUUGUGAAAUCCCCGGGCUCAACCUGGGAACUGCAUCUGUGACUGCAUCGCUGGAGUGCGGCAGAGGG
RNAcentral lists this ribosomal RNA (545 nucleotides) under uncultured bacterium. RNAcentral's name for it is "bacterial SSU rRNA". It matches the Rfam family "Bacterial small subunit ribosomal RNA", at positions 119 to 658 of the family's 1533-position model. The record is from RNAcentral.